AAUUGGCUUCUUUGAUUUCAACAGGCUUUCCCUCGGCCUCAGACUGGAACCUUCUUGAGAAGUUGAGGAGAAUCUUGCACAGAGAAAUGUUACGUUAUACAAAGAUUGUGUUAAAGGUUGCAAGAGGGUAAUCAAAACAGAGCAAGAAAAGGGUAAGAGAUGGAAGACCUAAGUUGUUGUUAAGGGUUUUAAUGAACAUGAGCUUUUGCCUGGACCAUUCUCUUUCAAGCUCACUCAUCUGCUGCUUCAAUCGCUCGUGUGAAUCCUCUCUUUUUUACCAUUUUUUUCUUACUUCAAUAUAUUAAGAGUAGAAUGAACACAGAAUUCGGUUUAUAAAAACACAGAGUCAGAUGAAAAUUC
Molecule: long non-coding RNA, 360 nt
Filed under: Brassica napus (rape)
Lineage: Eukaryota; Viridiplantae; Streptophyta; Magnoliopsida; Brassicales; Brassicaceae
Description: long non-coding RNA (BNAP_LNC007601)
Source: RNAcentral